Molecule: ribosomal RNA, 927 nt
Filed under: Triticum aestivum (bread wheat)
Lineage: Eukaryota; Viridiplantae; Streptophyta; Magnoliopsida; Poales; Poaceae
Description: partial small subunit ribosomal RNA
Source: RNAcentral
AUGCCGCUCGCCAUUGCCGUCCCCUCGGCGGCGGCGCUCCGGCGGCCAUAUCACUUCCGCUUUCUCCACCCUCCCAGAAAGCUUAGCCUAUCGAGAACACGCUGCGCCCCUUCGCCCCCGGCAGAGGCGCAGCCAGUGCCUCCGCAACCCCGGCGAUACCCGAGGCAGUACCCAGGCGAGGCGGUGGGCGUUGCCGAGGAGAUGCGGUUCGUCGCCAUGCGCCUCCGCAACACUAAGCGCACUACUCGUAAGGGCAAUAAUAGGGCUGACGGAUCCGGGGAGGACGAUGAAUCGAGGGAGGAUGAGGUGGAGGACAACGACGACAUGGACGAGGAGGGAAACGACGAAGUGAAGGAGGAGGAGGAGGAGGAGGAGGAGGAGGACAACCAUGAAGUGGAGGAGUGGAUGCCCAGCAUGGAAGGGUUCGUGGGCUACCUUGUGGAUAGCAAGCUUGUCUUCGACACCGUUGAGCGGAUCAUAGCCGGGUCUACGGACGUCGCCUAUGUUUACUUCAGGAAAAGUGGUUUGGAACGUUCGGCUAGCAUUGAAAAAGAUUUGGAGUGGUUCAGAGAACAAGCAAUUGAAAUUCCAGAGCCAAGUACUUUUGGAUCAACAUAUGCAGCUUAUCUGUCUGAAUUGGCUGGGAGCAGUGCCCCGGCCUUCCUUUCCCAUUAUUACAAUCUUUAUUUUUCUCAUACAACUGGAGGGUUGGCGAUUGGUAAAAAGACGUGCGACAAAAUUUUGGAUGGGAGAUUGCUGGAGUUCUACAAAUGGGAUUCUGACCCAGAAAUUUUACUAAAAGAUGCUAGGGAGAAGCUUAAUGAGCUUAGCAAGCACUGGUCUCGGAAGGACAGGAACUUGUGCUUGAAAGAAGCCGCAAAAUGCUUCCAGUACAUGGGGCGGAUCGUGCGGUUAAUCGUUUCAUAG